Plectropomus leopardus (leopard coralgrouper) is the source of this 133-nucleotide non-coding RNA. NCBI's taxonomy places the organism in Eukaryota, Metazoa, Chordata, Actinopteri, Perciformes, Serranidae. The record is from RefSeq and is a predicted model, not a curated record.
CUCCUCGCUGCUCUCCUGCUGCUCCAAACCUCUAAAGACGUCGUCUCCAGUCCUCUACGGGAAGCCAAAAAAGCAGAGGACUGGUUCACCAGAGCGUUGAUCUACAUGGAGUCAAACCCCGAGACUUUAGAAG